UGACUNGAGUGCAGAAGAGGAGAGUGGAAUUCCAUGUGUAGCGGUGAAAUGCGUAGAUAUAUGGAGGANCACCAGUGGCGAAAGCGGCUCUCUGGUCUGUCACUGACGCUGAGGCUCGAAAGCGUGGGUAGCGAACAGGAUUAGAUACCCUGGUAGUCCACGCCGUAAACGAUGAGUGCUAGGUGUUAGGCCCUUUCCGGGGCUUAGUGCCGGAGCUAACGCAAUAAGCACUCCGCCUGGGAGUACGACCGCAAGGUUGAAACUCAAAGGAAUUGACGGGGGCCCGCACAAGCGGUGGAGCAUGUGGUUUAAUUCGAAGCAACGCGAAGAACCUUACCAGGUCUUGACAUCCCGAUGCUAUUCUUAGAGAUAGGAAGUUACUUCGGUACCUCGGAGACAGGUGGUGCAUGGUUGUCGUCAGCUCGUGUCGUGAGAUGUUGGGUUAAGUCCCGCAACGAGCGCAACCCUUAUUGUUAGUUGCCAUCAUUAAGUUGGGCACUCUAGCGAGACUGCCGGUAAUAAACCGGAGGAAGGUGGGGAUGACGUCAAAUCAUCAUGCCCCUUAUGACCUGGGCUACACACGUGCUACAAUGGUCGGUACAACGAGUUGCGAGCCGGUGACGGCAAGCUAAUCUCUGAAAGCCGAUCUCAGUUCGGAUUGGAGGCUGCAACUCGCCUCCAUGAAGUCGGAAUCGCUAGUAAUCGCGGAUCAGCACGCCGCGGUGAAUACGUUCCCGGGCCUUGUACACACCGCCCGUCACACCACGAGAGUUUGUAACACCCGAAGUCGGUGAGGUAACC
This 801-nucleotide ribosomal RNA is filed under the name uncultured bacterium. RNAcentral's name for it is "bacterial SSU rRNA". It matches the Rfam family "Bacterial small subunit ribosomal RNA", at positions 638 to 1440 of the family's 1533-position model. The record is from RNAcentral.